Myotis daubentonii (Daubenton's bat) is the source of this 205-nucleotide long non-coding RNA. RefSeq lists it as uncharacterized. NCBI's taxonomy places the organism in Eukaryota, Metazoa, Chordata, Mammalia, Chiroptera, Vespertilionidae. The record is from RefSeq and is a predicted model, not a curated record.
ACAAGUUUUAACUUGCCUGCUCUUAGUUUGUAUUACAGAAGGUCUCUUGUACUUUGUUGAAGGUAUAUUUUUUUGAAAGUAAAAGUGCAUUUAAAGUGUGUUCAUAAAUGUUAAUCUAAGAAAUGCUGGCUGUUUACUUUUUGGUAAUUAUUGAAAAAGUGAGGUUUCUAAGAGUGAAGAAUUCUAAUACAUUUUAAAGAAAAAG